Bison bison bison is the source of this 67-nucleotide microRNA precursor. The record is from Ensembl. Lineage: Eukaryota; Metazoa; Chordata; Mammalia; Artiodactyla; Bovidae.
GUGGGGUGUGUGCUGGAGCCUGCUUGCUUGUGUCCUGGGCUGAGGCCUGGUCCUGUACCCACCCUGC